This 1785-nucleotide long non-coding RNA is filed under the name Panax ginseng (ginseng). Its description in RNAcentral is "long non-coding RNA (PGIN_LNC014800)". Lineage: Eukaryota; Viridiplantae; Streptophyta; Magnoliopsida; Apiales; Araliaceae. The record is from RNAcentral.
UUGGACAUAAAUAAUUAGAAUAAAUUAAAUAAUUAAUUCAUAGACAUAAAAGGUUCAAUUUGUAGUCUUAACAGAAGAUUUAGUUCAUGAUUAAUGAAUUAAAACUAAGAAUUCACAAUUGAAUAGACAUUAAAAGAUAAAAGUAAGAGACGAGAAGAGAAUAAAAUCUGUUGUCAGCAAAUCUCCAUCUUCAUCAAGCUCUUGCUCUGGAUCUUCAAUGGUCUCCAAGUUGCUUCAAUUUCCAAAACUAAUAAGAACUAGGGUUUAUGUUCAAAUCUAAUGGAGUGUAUCUCUAAUCUAAUCUAUAUAAUCCCCCCUUUAUUAUAUGCCUUACAUCAUGUAUUUAUAGGUUACAAGUCCAAUUUUUAGCUUAGGAACAAACCCAAUCCAAUUUGGAGUCAAAAAAAUGUAAAAAUUCGCCCCAAAACGCGUCCCAACUUCACGAGGCCCGAGCCCAGUGCCCCAGCGCUGCUCACGACACUUUAACACUGCCUCCUAGCGCCCCGACGCUGGGCGUAGGCCAUGUUUAGGCGCCCCGGCGCUGGGCCCUUUUUUGGAAAUUUUCUACUCCGACGUCCUUUGGGAAAAUGGUCAUAACUUCUUCUUCCGAACUCAGAUUUCGAUGAUUCAAGAUGUUCAAAAAAGAGGAGACGUAGAUCUACAACUUUCAUUCUUUGAGUUUUUCGAAAUAAAGUCUGGAACAAUGCUGAAAUUGGCUUUGAAGUGAAUGCUAUGUAAAUGAUAAGCAAAAAACGCGCAUCUAGCUACCCCAAACGUCGAUCCAAGUAACUUUUGUCCCAAUUCCUACAAAACAACAUAAAAAAUUCAUGAAUAGAUACAAACACUUAAAAACUUUCAAAAGAUUAAGAUCAAAUGCACUCAAUUUGUGAUAGCCCCAAAUCCGGGUCCUAAUCGCCGCGUAUUCGAUACAAUCAUUCUACAACUGUUUGCGGAAGAUAUAAACAUAGAUUGUUUAUACAUUAAACUUUACACACAUUUCCCCAUAAUCGAGUAACCUUCACUUAUACACAAUCAGGAACUAUCUAGCACAUGACCAUACUAUUCUUCAACAUACUUUACAACUUAACUUCACAUUCUGUACCAAGCUGAACUUGGCAUUAUCCUUUUUCUGUAUCUGGCCGUAUUCGCCUUAUCUGCAAUGUUUUAUCUUGAUAUAGCAAGGGUGAGCAUGAAAGUUGCCCAGCAAGUUUAAAAACAAUGUAAAGAUAUAUCAUGAUGGAAAGAGUUUGAAUAAUAAGCUGGCUAUCCUUCACAAUGUAUUUGUGAAUUAGCAUGAACAAAGUUUUGACUGAACAAGUAUUGAACAGGAACAAUAAUAUAUCUGGACCAACUGGUAAUGAAGGUGAUCAGCCUUUCAUACCUGGCUUAUACAUGCAAGAUUUAUAGGGUACAAUUCAUAAGCAUAUCUGUCUGAAACCACUCUUAAAAGAGUUUAAGUAAAAAGAACUUGAAAAACUUGCCUGAACCGUUGAUUACCGUAACGCAAUAUAAUAAGCUUCUCCUGAAGACCUAAUAUUAAUAAUAUAGAUCUCCAAUAUUAGAAUAAUAUCAUCACCGUUAUAAAAUAACUUAAACACAUAAUCCUAUCAGUCUAUACAGCAUAUAAAACCUAUAAUAGAUCUUUCGGUUAGUCAUAACAUAUAGUUAAGUAUUAGACAAUAGGUUUAAGUCUUAAUAUUAUUAUUAUACUUUGAUAUUCUUUUAAUCACAUCAUAACUUGUACUUAUAAGUUAUUCAUUUUUAUAUGUUAUCCUAGUAAAUUAG